CGAACGCUGGCGGCGUGCUUAACACAUGCAAGUCGAACGAUGAAGCCUAGCUUGCUAGGUGGAUUAGUGGCGAACGGGUGAGUAAUACGUGAGUAACCUACCUUUAACUCUGGGAUAAGCCCGGGAAACUGGGUCUAAUACCGGAUACGACCAAUCUCCGCAUGGGGUGUUGGUGGAAAGCGUUAUGUAGUGGUUAUAGAUGGGCUCACGGCCUAUCAGCUUGUUGGUGAGGUAACGGCUCACCAAGGCGACGACGGGUAGCCGGCCUGAGAGGGUGACCGGCCACACUGGGACUGAGACACGGCCCAGACUCCUACGGGAGGCAGCAGUGGGGAAUAUUGCACAAUGGGCGCAAGCCUGAUGCAGCGACGCCGCGUGAGGGAUGACGGCCUUCGGGUUGUAAACCUCUGUUAGCAGGGAAGAAGAGAGAUUGACGGUACCUGCAGAGAAAGCGCCGGCUAACUACGUG
RNAcentral lists this ribosomal RNA (469 nucleotides) under uncultured bacterium. Its description in RNAcentral is "partial 16S ribosomal RNA". It matches the Rfam family "Bacterial small subunit ribosomal RNA", at positions 30 to 507 of the family's 1533-position model. The record is from RNAcentral.